Molecule: long non-coding RNA, 686 nt
Organism: Panicum virgatum (switchgrass)
Lineage: Eukaryota; Viridiplantae; Streptophyta; Magnoliopsida; Poales; Poaceae
Exons: 2
Source: RefSeq, a predicted model, not a curated record
UAAAAGGAAAAGGGUCAAAAGGAUCACAAACCUAUCGAUCCAUGGUGCCCCUAGGGUCGGACCUCCUCGGCCACGGCGCUAUCACCGCACAGCGGCGGCGGCGGAGUCGGUGAGGAGGGCCUGGCAGCGGCGCCCCUUCUAGUGGUCGGAAAGAUGGCGGUCGGGGAGGAGUCCGUGGAGCUCCCUCUGGUGGCGCAGGAGGAGCAGCGAAGGAGGUCGACCUUGAACGGGUUGGUCCUGCCUUCAUCCCAUUCACCCCCAAAUAUCUCACUUCGCCACCAUGACGAGGACCAUCGAGGCCCGGAUCACACCCCUCUCCCUCCUUAUGCUGAUCUUUGAAUAGAGGUACAGUUCCAUUAAGAUCAAUAAGAUUCCAGAGUGAACUAUCAGCAACUAGGAAACCUGGAGCAAUCGGCAAAGUGGAGCAAGAAGCAAGUAAUACUAAAGAAGCAAACUCAAAUUGGGAUCUCAAGGCUUUUGGCGUUUUCUACCUACGAGUCCAAAAAUAUUUUGUAGAAUUAUUUAUUAUGUCGAUGUGUUAGUUUGGAGUCAAACAUUGUUCUGUAAAUGUUAAUGUUAUAUAUUCAUGCUACUCAAGUAGUGUUUUCAGUUCACACAUAAAUUAGAAUACAAAGUCAGAUAUGUGGGUACCUUAAUAAGUUUAUUUGUUUUUCAUGUUAUACCUA